This 569-nucleotide ribosomal RNA is filed under the name Beauveria bassiana. RNAcentral describes it as "eukaryotic LSU rRNA". The stretch from base 193 to 346 matches the Rfam family "5.8S ribosomal RNA". Lineage: Eukaryota; Fungi; Ascomycota; Sordariomycetes; Hypocreales; Cordycipitaceae. RNAcentral also lists the same sequence under 1 other name. The record is from RNAcentral.
UCCGUAGGUGAACCUGCGGAGGGAUCAUUACCGAGUUUUCAACUCCCAAACCCUUAUGUGAACCUACCUAUCGUUGCUUCGGCGGACUCGCCCCAGCCGGACGCGGACUGGACCAGCGGCCGCCGGGGACCAUCAAACUCUUGUAUUAUCAGCAUCUUCUGAAUACGCCGCAAGGCAAAACAAAUAAAUUAAAACUUUCAACAACGGAUCUCUUGGCUCUGGCAUCGAUGAAGAACGCAGCGAAAUGCGAUAAGUAAUGUGAAUUGCAGAAUCCAGUGAAUCAUCGAAUCUUUGAACGCACAUUGCGCCCGCCAGCAUUCUGGCGGGCAUGCCUGUUCGAGCGUCAUUUCAACCCUCGACCUCCCUUUGGGGAAGUCGGCGUUGGGGACCGGCAGCACACCGCCGGCCCUGAAAUGGAGUGGCGGCCCGUCCGCGGCGACCUCUGCGUAGUAAACCAACUCGCACCGGAACCCCGACGUGGCCACGCCGUAAAACACCCAACUUCUGAACGUUGACCUCGAAUCAGGUAGGACUACCCGCUGAACUUAAGCAUAUCAAUAAGCGGAGGA